Molecule: ribosomal RNA, 229 nt
Filed under: uncultured bacterium
Lineage: Bacteria
Description: partial 16S ribosomal RNA
Rfam family: Bacterial small subunit ribosomal RNA
Source: RNAcentral
GAUCAUGGCUCAGGAUGAACGCUAGCUACAGGCUUAACACAUGCAAGUCGAGGGGCAGCAUGGUCUUAGCUUGCUAAGACUGAUGGCGACCGGCGCACGGGUGAGUAACACGUAUGCAACUUACCUAUCAGAGGGGGAUAGCCCGGCGAAAGUCGGAUUAAUACCCCAUAAACAGGGGUCCCGCAUGGGAAUAUUUGUUAAAGAUUCAUCGCUGAUAGAUAGGCAUGCG